AAUUAAUAAGCUAAUUAGCACAUGUCUUGAAAACAUAAAUUAGAAGUUUAAAUCUUCUAUUAAUUU
This 66-nucleotide transfer RNA is filed under the name Loxilobus prominenoculus. RNAcentral's name for it is "tRNA-Ser". It matches the Rfam family "tRNA". Rfam says of the family: Transfer RNA (tRNA) molecules are approximately 80 nucleotides in length. Lineage: Eukaryota; Metazoa; Arthropoda; Insecta; Orthoptera; Tetrigidae. The record is from RNAcentral.